AAGGGGUGGAAGUUUUUGAUUGUUGAGCAUUUCUGAUUUGCAGUUUUCAGCUUCGGAACCUCAUGUGAACACAGUGAGGGGUGAGAGGUGCACUGCGGCCCUCGGCGGGGUCUGGUCUGUGGUCAGCAUCCCGGCCAGGGGGCUGCGGGAAGUCAGCACCCUCUGAAGCCUGGGAGUCAGAACCUGCACUGUAUCAUGGUGAGGAGAACUCAGGUUUGGGAGCACUGACAUCUGACGGGAGGGAAGCCACAGCUGAAGUCUAAAGGGAGUAAGUCAAAUGCUGCACAGUAAUAAAACUAUCAGAUCUUGUACUCAUUUACUUUCAAAAAAUCCACCAGACAGCAUCCAGACAUCUGGGGGUGAAGGAGUUCUAUGCAGAAAGGCAGCAACGACUGAGUUGAGAGAAUCUACCUUCAAGGUCUUCUCUGCACAUCAAUCAAAGGUAGAGCGCUGCUUUAAAUCUGAGACUGCUGGUUACCACAUGAACCACAAAUCAUACUAAAAGUGAUAGUUAUUUUGUUUGUUUGUUUGUUUGUUUUGGUACCGGGGAUUGAAAAAUCAUACUAAAAGUAUUUAAGCAAUUUUAUAGGAGGCACUGUAAACAUUCUGUUUACAGAUGGGGCCCAUGGCGCCAAAUGAAGCUCUUGGGAGUCUCCUGUCAUGGUAAGUGUUUGGGGAAGCAGUUAUGUACCAAGUGGCAUAAUGGCAUUCAAUAUUUUAAUAAUUAGUAAGACAUAAUAUUGGUAAAAGGCUGGCU
Molecule: long non-coding RNA, 757 nt
Organism: Fukomys damarensis (Damara mole-rat)
Lineage: Eukaryota; Metazoa; Chordata; Mammalia; Rodentia; Bathyergidae
Source: Ensembl